Molecule: long non-coding RNA, 988 nt
Organism: Oreochromis aureus
Lineage: Eukaryota; Metazoa; Chordata; Actinopteri; Cichliformes; Cichlidae
Exons: 3
Source: RefSeq, a predicted model, not a curated record
CGCUCAGUGUAGCACAGAGGAGGUGAACAGGCAAACAGAGUGGAGGAGACAGAAACUUGAAGCAUGAGGAGAAAGGAAGUGUAGCAGUGGUUGUAACAAAUGUUGAGGCUGACAGUGAGAAGGUUGAGGAAGACGAGGGUAAUGAAGACGAGGCAGAGGAAACCAGUCUCAGAAGCAGCACGGCUGACGGCUCUGACAAAAAACCAAGGCUCAGGAUUCACACUAAAUCUUCUGCCACCGAGAAUAUGGACUGAGGUCAUGCUAAAUCCAGUGCCUCCAGCUGUAUCCCUGCCUUUGACCUUUCCUCCCCCCAUGAUAAAUCCAGCAUCACUAAUUUAGGUGUGAAAAUGGACCCCAGCCUAAAACUCGACUCACAUGUCAAAGCUGUGGUUAAGUCCUCCAUCUUUCAGUUGAGGCAGCUGUCAAAAAUUAAGUCCAUCCUGUCUAGAGGCCACCCAGAAACACAGAUUCAUGCAUUUAUCACCUCUCAUCUGGAUUAUUGUAAUUCUCUUUUUUAUUUUUCUGAGAUAUUUCACCCUUAAAUGCUGUCACGUGCUUGUAGUUCAGCUAACCAGGUGCUUUUGACUCUCCCAAAGACAUUUUAUAAAUCCAGAGGAGCCUUUGAAGUUUUCCUAAAAUGUUGAAUGAGCUGCUGCUGGAGACAGGCUCCAUCUCCUGCUGUUUUUAAAUGUCUUAAACUUUUACUCUUUGUACGUACUUAUUUAUUCUUGAUCUCUUAUUUUUUUUUAUUUUCUUUUUGUACAGCAUGUUGGUGCUUUAGAAAUAAAUUUAAAAUGUUGUUCCAUGAAAUGUGUUUUAAAAGUGUUCAUGCUUCUUUAAUGAUGUGACAGGAAAUUUUAGUACAGCAUAUCAGGAGUUUAAUGAAUUUAGAUACACUGGUGUGAUCAUUGUAAUGGUGUCUUGGUCAAACAUAGUAAUUAAUCUUUUUUAUUUAUAAGGCCUUGGAGAGUUUCAGUGAACUGCAGGA